This 253-nucleotide ribosomal RNA is filed under the name uncultured bacterium. Its description in RNAcentral is "partial 16S ribosomal RNA". It matches the Rfam family "Bacterial small subunit ribosomal RNA", at positions 524 to 776 of the family's 1533-position model. The record is from RNAcentral.
UACGAAGGGGGCUAGCGUUGCUCGGAAUCACUGGGCGUAAAGGGCGCGUAGGCGGGGAGGUAAGUCGGGUGUGAAAUCCCUCGGCCCAACCGAGGAACUGCGCCCGAGACUGCUUCUCUUGAGUCCCGGAGAGGAAGAUGGAAUUCCCGGUGUAGCGGUGAAAUGUGUAGAGAUCGGGAGGAACACCGGUGGCGAAGGCGGUCUUCUGGACGGUGACUGACGCUGAGGCGCGAAAGCGUGGGGAGCAAACAGG